CCCCUAAUUGAGAGCCGCCGCAUCAGCGGAACGCCGCAAAAUGGAACGCCGGUAAGCGGGGCCCUAAUGUAUAUAUAUAUAUAUAUAUACAUACACACACACACACACACACACACACACAUAUAUAUAUAACGCCUCAUUUGUUUUCUAACCAACUUUGCUGGGCCCUUUUUAUUAAGAAGUCAACUUUCAGAGAGGCUCUUUAACUACAGCUCUCCUUUUAAGGGUUACUUCUUCAGAAUACCGCAGCUUGACACGCGCCUCCUCCACCACCAUAAAAACGCACAGCAUGUUACAAAACCACGGAGUCCAACAAAGCUAAGAAGAAAAAACAAACAAGCUGAAAACCAACGGAAGUGCGUGGGAAAGAAGAGGGGUAUGGGCCCGGAUGAAACUGAACUGAAACCAAAACAUUAUUUAAAAAAAUAAAAGACACAGUUCCUCUUUGAACAGAGUGGAAAUUUGUGGAGAGCCGAGAGAGAAGACUCUGGUUUGGACUUUCUUUGCCUCACUUUCCCUUGGUUGCACGCCCAAGAGACUUCUAUGAAUUUCGACUGAGAAAACUGAAGUAUGCAAGCUGCCUGCACCCUAAUGUAAGUCCUCUUUCCUCAUCUCUGAAUGCCGGCCCAGGCCGCACGCGCACAUACACGAACAAGCGCGCCAUACAACGGAGAAGGGAGAGGGGGUGCAAUGUUUGUUUUUUCCAGAGGCAGCAGUUGCAAUAACCGCAUGUGGAGCUAAUCCGUGCUUCGUUUCGUUUUCCGCUCCUUUCUGGAAGGACACCCGUUCACAACUUCCCAUCCCGUCAGGCUUACUACUUUACUUAAGUCUUCCAUAAAUGUUUCGACUUACUACUUCAACAAGUCUCUUGCCCAGCAUAUGAAGCGAGGAGAAGGGAAGGCCUCGCUCCGAGGCUCGUGGCAGGCUCACCUGUAAGCACACAGUAAACACUUCAAGACGGGAAGAAGAGCGAAAGUGCUGUAGGCGAUUAGUAUACGAACGACGACGCUUCAAGGGGGCGGGGCAAGACCAGUCUGGGACAAACGGUCGUCGAGAAACAUGUUGGGACUUGUUCUCUCGCCCACAGCUAGAAAGGCCACCGGCCCGCCCACUGCUCCAAGGCUGUUCUUUGAUGACUUUACGCCUGCCUGCCUGCCGGCUAAGAAAAUCCCAAAGACGCUCACCAACCACUGACAUGAAUGGAGACAGAAGGCGUAGCCCGCGGGACUCAGUUGAAAAGUCACACUUGCAGCGGUCUAGGUAGCGAGGCUACAACCUGUGCAGUUGGCUGGGGGAGACCCUGUGCAACUGGCUGGGGGAGUGAGCCCCACUGAAUCCAGCGUGACUUGAUUACGAGAGCAGCUUGCAGAGAAGUACAGGAACAAACCAAAUGACACCUUGUGCCUUUAAGAGCUGUGUGACUGGCACAAAUUAAACAGAUAAUUCCGUGAUGUCAGGCUUCUAGUCCAACUUUAUUUAAACUGCAAUAUUCUUCAUGUCUACGUAGAACUAAAUCCUAUUGAGUUCAACACGGUUUACUCUCAGUCCACACAGUGACUCCACUGCCUCAUCCAGUUUCCUAAUCAGGAUUGAAGGAGAAAUUUUCAAUAGCUGGAGGUUCUUUAUGUCAAUCCUGUGAUGGAAGGCACUUGGAGCACAGGGAAUUUUCAUGGAAGGGGGUGGCCCAGCAGCUCCAGCAAAGGAAGAGCUGCUGAAAGAAGGCUAAGCUCUAAACAGACUUUGCUCAUUGAUUUCCUGGGUGACCUUGCUCAAGCUUCUUUACCUCCUCCUGCCUCAGUCAGCUCAGCUGGAAAAUUGGGUAAAGAGUGGGGAGUAUUGGGGGAGAAGAAAAAAACCAUCUUGAGUUUGAAACUGGAAUUUCCCUGUUAACUCCCCCUCCUCCCUCCAAAGUGAGUGCAGUCAUUUUACACAGAUGUAAUUGCUUGUGCACCGUACACCAAUCAUUUUCUUGAGUUUCAUGACACAAGGGCUGACAUUCCAUGACAUGUUAAGGACCCAUGCAGUCCUGUGCAUUCUCUGCAAUAAUUGCCUUUUUUCUCUGGUGAAGUUUUAUAUCACAUAGAAUAGGUUAAUGGGGGCUAAGUCCAUUGUCAUAUUCUCCCAUCAAAAGAGCAGGGAUUAAUAUUCAAUCUGAAUAACCACAACAAUAAUAAUAAUUCUAUUUUUACUCACUAAACACUUGACCUAGGACUGAAGUUCCUCAAGUGUGUUCCAUACAUUAAAAUAAGUUCCACUAAAACAUUGAAUUCCAACCAGGGGUGUGAUAAUCAGGCAUGCAUGCAUUGCAACUUGUCCAUAGGUAGGAUGAAAUCUCAUGUUUUGCUCUAUAAGUAUUUAUUUAAGGUUUGUUUAAGCAGGAAAACAUCUCAAGAAGAAUGCUAGGAGUUAAUACCCUUCCAGGCUGACAGACAGGAUAUCCCGGGAAGUGGUAUUCCAAAUGCCUCUCAUAUAGCAUGAGUAUCCAGCAUUUCUAAUUUAAAGUAAAACAAAGAUGUUCUUGCUUCCUCGUUGCAUGAUAAAGAUCUCCAAACACUCACUUCUUCCAUUGCAGCAAGGAUGUGACACAGCAAUCAAAAUGCCAACUUCUUUCUUGUGAUGGGUGGGAUCUGUUACUGCAGAUCUCUUUAAUAUAGAUUUAGUUACACUGUGCAAAAUUGCAGCUUCUGAUGAAGGUAAACAGUUCAGGUGACCUAUUGGCCACCUGCAUGGACUUACUGCCUGAUAAAAGAAUGCAGUUGCUGUUAGGAUGAUAAUUGUGCACAUUGACCAUUAUUCUGUUUACUAUGGUUGUGGGAAACCUGAAGUCUGGGGGCCAAAUGCAGCCCUCCAGAUUUCUCUGUCUAGCCCUUGGGAUUCUCCCCAGGCACACACCUCUCUCCCCAUGCCAGCCCAGCUUUGCACAUUCCUGGAGUGUUUUUGCAUGGCUGGAAUGUGUCUUUGACCUCAGGUAAUACCCCUUGCUUGCCUGGAUGGAGGGUAGAGAGGUGUGUGUGUUUGUGUACAAACUACCUUUCAGUACAAAAUUUACAUUUAUUGCUCCUCCCACGUUUGAUUCUGGCCUCAUCUACCACUGGCAUGUGGGUCCCAGAAGGCUGCCCAAAAAGGAAUUCAACCCUCAGGCUAAAAAAUCAUUCUUCACCUCUGGUUUACUGUACCCAUGACAGUCAAACUGAGGAGCUGUGUGUCCUGGGCUUUGCUGUACAGUGAAGAGUCUGCUGGCCUCUUUGGUAACCACCACAUAAAUGCACCUUCUUGGAGGCCCAAUGACCAUCAUCUCCCCUGCCUGACUGCUUACCAGAUCCAGGAGGUUCUCCUCAACUUUGGCUAAUUUGUGCACUGUAUAGGCCAAUAUAGGGGAUUUCUAGCAUCUGUUACUAAUUGUAUGUUUGCUGUUUUAUGCACAAUGGAAUAAUUAAUGCCCACUGAGCUAUGGGCUCUUUUGCAAUGACUUCAUAUGGAUUAACAGGACAGUGGAGCUGGAACACUAUCAUAUGAAUGGCACCUUGGUGCACGUAGCACACACAGGUUGUCCCUUCAUUUUGAUUCCUUUAUAUGAAAGAAGGGAAGGUUGGUGAUGCUUAUUGGGAUUAGGGAGUUUAGUGAUACAUUAAAAGGGAAGCAAGCCAUUAUUGCAAUAUGGCUUUCAGAGGUCACUUUCUUUUUUCCUUUGAAAAGCUCUUAACACUACUUUAGCUAACCUUGGCUACUAUUUCACUGGAUUUUUGUUAUUCUAAUGUUCUAUUGUGUAAACUGCUCUGGGAGUAUUAUUUUUAAUCA
Long non-coding RNA from Rhineura floridana, 3798 nucleotides. RefSeq lists it as uncharacterized. The transcript has 5 exons. NCBI's taxonomy places the organism in Eukaryota, Metazoa, Chordata, Lepidosauria, Squamata, Rhineuridae. The record is from RefSeq and is a predicted model, not a curated record.